GAGGAAGAAGGCAGAAGCACUUCUAAGCUCUUUUCUAAACUCUUUCUAGCUCUAGGACUUUUUUUUUUUCUUUUCUCAAUAAAUACUUAUGAAGCACCUACUAUGGGCAGGCACUAUUUUUAUGUCCUGGACCAUCUAAGUGCAAGGAGGCUGAUGCUUUACUUGACAAAAAGACCAAGUAUUAAAAUAGAAUACUGCACUAAAUGGAAGAAAAGAAACUCAGGUUCAUGAAGUGGCAAAGACUCACUAAAAAUUAACUUCAUCUCCUCAUUGGCCACCGAUUAUGGUGGUUUCUGAAGCCUGGGAAUCACUUUAGAAGGUCCCAGUUAUGUGGAUUCCCCCUGCGGGUUAAGAACACUUUAACUAGGGCUUGCCUAAGAUUUGACAGAUGUAAUCAAGAGAGUCAGAAGUAGCCAACCCUUAGCAAGCUAUCUGAACUCUAGAAAGCAGCAUUUCUGAAGUUAUCUUAGUCCUUGGACUUUUUAGUUAAAGGGUCAAAAGGAAAACCCUUUCUCCUCAGGUUAUUUAAGGUGGGUUUCUGUCACUUGCCACCAACAGUCCUGAUUAAUAACCUCCUCUUCCCAUUACCUUAUAUCUUUCAUUGCACUACCACAAUCUAUCCUGUUUGCUGGCUUGCUAACUUGUUCAUAGUAUCCCCACCCUCCUUCAUCUGAAUUGUGAAACAAUGCAGCUAGACUGUCAAGGAUAUGUAGGUAUUAAUGGCUGCACCUGUGGCGUAUGGCAGUUCCUGGGCCAGGGAUUGAAUCCCAACUGCAACUAUGACCUAUGCCACAGCUGAAGCAAUGCCAGAUGCUUUAACCCACUGCACUGAGUGGGGAUUGAACCCAAGCUUCCACAGUGACCCACACCAGCUGUAGUCAGAUUCUUAACCCACUGUGCUACCACAGAACUCCUGUGAAGGAUAUUUUAAAAGAAGAAUUUCAAUAAUGUUUUUAUGUUUUCCCACAAUGUUCCAGCAGUAUUGUGGAUAUAAGUAUUAUCUACUUGAAGAGCCAACAUCACCUAAUGUAGCUUUAUGUAGCUUAGGGACAAAAUGGUUAAUUAAUUGAGAGUUUGGAUUCUGGUCUCUGAAAUCAAAUAUGUAUUAGCUGUUUUACUCUGAACAAGCUAGGUUAACUUCUAAGCCUUCAUUUCCUCAUCCAGUGGGAUGAUGUAUGGACCUCAAUCAGCACAGUACGAGGAGCAAAGGCGAAGUGUCUAGUAAAAAUGAGCCAUACAAGUUCUAGUAUGAUAAAAAUCACUACACUUCAUAAUGACACUUUAUACAGAUUACACACUGCAUAUAAAGGUUGGGACAGCAUUUAUUGCUCUUUUGAGAUAUCCUCUGUAAGAACCUUCUUUUACGCUAGUUUUAAGGUGACAUUACCGUUUGGAGAAAUGGAUUCCAGCUCACCUUGGUUAUACUAGUACAUGAAAUCAAGGCUCUCAUAUAGAAGAGCUUAUACCAUUAACUCUAGUGAGACAUAUAAACAGAACAAAGGGUGAUUUCUUUAGAAAAACACACAAAAAAGGUUUACUUUCACAAAGCAACAAAGAAAAAAAUGGAGACCUACCCACAUAAAUACUGGUAUAAAGUUAGCAUCAAGAUAUACUGUUUAAUUUCAGAUAGUUCACCUUUACAAUAAAACAUUUCACAAUAUUUAAAGUAUGAUAGACAUGAUUUUACUGACCACUUUAAUAAUCUCAAAAUGAAAUCUACGAAGCAUUGGUCACAUGUGCAAUUCCAGCAAACAAAAAGAAAAAAAAAAACAGCAAAACAAACAAAAAUUGUUAUUCAUCCAGAUUAUUCUAGCAAAAGCAGGUGCUGUGCCUGAACUGUCUGGUUUGCAAACUGCUGUCUUCAUCUCUCGCUGGAUAAAGCGAAUAUAAAGCUAAAUAUACAGCGAGUAGAUUUUAAAACCAGGAAAACUUGGGCCACUUAAAGUAACUUAUUCUAGUUUACUGACCGUUACCCAGCGACCUGAUUUCUAAAAUAGUUGACAAAGAAAAAACAAUUUACACUGCAAAUUCCGGCUUUCCUAGCUUUAUAAAAAGGAUUUUUUAAAGUCCCCAAAGGGCAAAGGGCUUAAAGGGUCACCUCCCCUCGCCCCAGAAGGGAAAUGUCAAAAUCGUUUUUUGUUUUGUCUUUACUCAUAACGGUGUGGACUCUAACAAUCGUGAUCUUAACGCUUCACAGCUGAUAGGCGGCACGGCCGGUGUUUACGGUACAGGAAGGGCUGGAAGCGCCCAUCUAUGUGGGCAUAAGCAUCACCUGCGCCCUGGAGAGCAGGGCGCACUUCCCAAAGGCUCCCAACCAGCUACAUUAGCCCCAAAGUCUUAAAUUUAAGCGUCUGGGGUCCUUAAGACUAUGAAUCAUGUUUGAUACUACACAGAUAGAUGAUGAAACGCCAGAAAACGGCAGAAAGGUUCCGCAAUAAACUGGUAGACAUGUUUGCUAGGGAAUCAGCAGACAUAUUUUUCAAUCCACCAAAUCUUUUACCAAAGGAAGCUUUAGAUAAACUCUAACCUCUUAGGAAACAUUAACUUCAGGGAAAGACUAUAACAACUAACUUGAACCCUUCGCUGAAGGCCCGUCCGUCGGCAACUCAACAGGUUAUCCUCAUUCCUCCAGGCCUGCGACCGCGGCUUGCAGAGAAGGGGCGGCCCCGGGGCAGGUGGGAGACCGGCCCGAGACUCAGUUUCCCCCAGCCUCAUCAGUGCACCUCCAGGUCGGUCCCGUGCCUUCGGCCUAAGACUUGCAAGAACUUUCUGCACAACCAGGUUCCAACUUGGAAACUCCCCAUGGGCAGCGUGCCUCCUCCCGGGACCUGGGCUGGCGACCCUGGCAGCCACUACUUACCCUCCAAGUCUGUGCUGUCGGCGACAAUCUUCAGCAGCGCUAUCGCCAGCACGGCCCCUAGGGCCAGCACCGCCAAGAAACCUCGCGAGCCGAGUCCCAUUGUUCCGAGGGCAAGACGCGGAGGCCUCGUGGGCUUGCAACCGAGGUAGCGGCUGCGCGAGUGAGAGAGGAGCCUUCGCGCACCCGAGUCCGCUCCGCGUCCCCUUCCGCCGCGCACGCCUCCCCUCCUGCUGCCUAACCCGCAGAGACCAAAUAGGGCGCGGGAGCCGGGCCUAGAGGGGGCGUCGCGUGCCGGCCACAGCUGCGGGACGGGACGGGGC
RNAcentral lists this long non-coding RNA (3180 nucleotides) under Sus scrofa (pig). Its description in RNAcentral is "lncRNA (ENSSSCG00015055254.1)". The record is from RNAcentral. Lineage: Eukaryota; Metazoa; Chordata; Mammalia; Artiodactyla; Suidae.